Molecule: ribosomal RNA, 2250 nt
Filed under: Triticum aestivum (bread wheat)
Lineage: Eukaryota; Viridiplantae; Streptophyta; Magnoliopsida; Poales; Poaceae
Description: partial small subunit ribosomal RNA
Source: RNAcentral
AUGUCCUCCGAGCCUCAUGAGAUCAUUAUGGCAGACGCUUCUGCGCCCACUUCCACUAUGACAGUUGGUUGUACAGUAUCUCUAGACAAGGCGAAGGCUAGUGGCAGUGGUGUCGAUGGUGAGGUGCAAGCAGCACAAACAGAGAAGAGGGAUGAUGGGAAAGCUGAAGUUGUUGAGGUUGAAAAGAAAGAUGGGCGAAGGCAGAUGGCUUCGAGAUCAGAGAUGUGGAACCACUUUGAAAAGGUCAUUAUUAAUGGUGUAUUGCAGAAGGGAAAAUGCAACUACUGCAAGAUUGACAUCAACGCUCAUCCCGUCAUCAAUGGUACAUCAGCUUUGCGCAAACAUUUUAAUAUUUGCAAGCGUAAUCCCCAUAGGAAUAUUGGUGAUGAUAAGCAAGCUGUGCUGCAAGUUAAUCAGGGUGAUAGUGUACAUUCUUGGAAAUUUGAUCAUGAUGCUAUUAGGGCCGCUUUUGCUGAAAUGAUAAUAGAAGAUGAGCUCCCAUUUGCAUUUGGUGAAAAAUCUGGGUUUAAAAAGUUCAUGUCUAAAGCCUGCCCACGUUUCUCAGUUCCAUCUAGGAGAACAUGCACUAGGGAUGUUGUUCGCGCAUAUUUUGAACAAAAGGCUAAACUGAAAAUUUUCUUUAAAGAACAAUGUGAAAGAGUGUGUCUCACAACUGAUGGUUGGACUUCUCAACAAAAAGAUAGCUACAUGACUGUUACUGCCCACUUCAUUUGUAAGGAAUGGAAACUCCACAAGAAAGUCAUUAGCUUUUUCAAGGUUAAGGGUCAUAAAGGAGAUGAUAUUGGGAAACACUUGCAGAAAACUUUGAUCGAUUGGGGGAUAGAGAAGGUCAUGACCAUUACUAUUGAUAAUGCUAGUAACAAUGAUGGUGGUAUUGGUUACAUGAAAAAGGAACUGAAUAAAGCUAAGACUUGCAUAGCUGGAGGCAAGUUUCUCCACAUGAGGUGUGCUGCCCACAUUGUCAACUUAAUAGUUACAGAUGGUCUAAAAGAAGUUGAUACUUCAAUCAAGCGUGUGCGUGCAGCUGUUAGAUAUGUCAGAAAUAGCCCAAGUAGGUUGACUAAGUUCAAAGAAUGUGCAGACCUUGAGAAGGUUAACACCAAGGCCUUCUUGAUUCUUGAUGUGAGCACUAGGUGGAACUCGACAUACUAUAUGUUGAAGGCUGCUGUUAGUUAUGAGAAAGUUUUUGCAAGGUAUGCAGAUGAAGAUCCUUACUUUGCAAUUGAUCUACUUACUGAUAAAGGUAAGGAGAAGGGUGUUGGAGUUCCAGAUGAGCAGGACUGGGAGAAUGUCAAGAAGAUGGCGAUAUUUCUUGCUCAUUUUGCGGAUCUAACAACUCGUGUUUCUGCCUCAUUGUAUGUGACUGCUAAUAGCUUUUUCCAUGAGAUUGGUGAGGUGAAUAUGUUAGUGAAAAGUUGGAUGGAAAGUGGGGAUGGUUUGCAAAUUGCAAUGGCAGAGAGGAUGAAGGAUAAGUCUGAUAAAUAUUGGGGAAAUUGGCAUGAGCUCGAUACCAGCAAAAAGGGGAAGGAAAAGGAGAACUUCAACUUGCUGAUUUUCAUUGCAACGGCACUUGAUCCAAGGUACAAGCUUACAGAAUACACACAAUUUGCCAUUUUAGAAGUGUAUGGAGAGGAGAAAGGGCCUAAGGUGUGGGCUGCAGUCAGUACGUGUCUUCGAGAUUUGUUCGAGGAAUAUAGGAUGAUGUAUGCUCCAAAUGUUGCAUCACCUCUAAGUAGUGCUUCUCAGGAAGUUGAAUCAACUGGAGGGCGUGCAAGCAUGAUGAGAUCCAUGAUUGCCAAAAAAAUGAGGCUGAACAGUGGUGGUAGCAGCAGCAGCAAGUCUGAGCUGGACAAGUUUCUUGCUGAGGAGCCUGAAGAUGAUGGCCCAAAAUUUGACAUAUUAGAUUGGUGGAAGGUUAACUCAUCUAGGUUUCCUAUAUUGGCAUGCUUGGCACGGGAUGUUUUGGCAGUCCCCAUCUCGACUGUUGCAUCCGAGUCUGCGUUCUCUACUGGUGGGUGUAUUCUCGAUGAAUUCAGAUCUUCUCUGACUCCAUUCAUGGUUGAAGCCCUUCUGUGCACUCAGGAUUGGCUUCGAUAUGGUACUCAUCUCAACAUAGUAGAGAACACUGAAGAAUUGACCAAGCUUGAACAAGAGUUAAUUGCGGAAUAUAAGGAGAAAGUGAAGCUCCAAAGCAAUGACAAGCCUCCCACCACCGCAAAGCCUACUUAA